Molecule: transfer RNA, 72 nt
Filed under: Treponema sp.
Lineage: Bacteria; Pseudomonadati; Spirochaetota; Spirochaetia; Treponematales; Treponemataceae
Description: tRNA-His
Rfam family: tRNA
About the family: Transfer RNA (tRNA) molecules are approximately 80 nucleotides in length. Their secondary structure includes four short double-helical elements and three loops (D, anti-codon, and T loops).
Source: RNAcentral
GUGGGUGUAGAUCAGGGGUAGAUCCCCAGAUUGUGGAUCUGGUUGUCGCGGGUUCGAAUCCCGUCAUCCACC